UCAAAGAAUUACUAUCAAGUGCUGAGGAUAGAACAACAGUUUAGAAAAGGAAAUGAAUGUAAGAAGGGUACUAAUUCCUCCUGUCCUUGGGAUGACACAGAUAGAAAAUAAGAAAGAAUCAACAAUACUUCAUAGGUUCAGAACAUCAACAAAAUCAUACAUCAAGUCCAGAUCUUUGGCCUUUCCCACUUUCUGAGGUCAAAUCCAAGAAAUCAGCAAAUAUGUCCUGGAGGCAUCUGAGAGCCAGCCUCAGCCUCAGAAACUUUCACCUCAAGGAUACUGUGGGCAUCAGACAUCUGAAAUGGGGAAGAUUCAAGGACUUUCCA
Long non-coding RNA from Sarcophilus harrisii (Tasmanian devil), 326 nucleotides. RefSeq lists it as uncharacterized. The transcript has 3 exons. NCBI's taxonomy places the organism in Eukaryota, Metazoa, Chordata, Mammalia, Dasyuromorphia, Dasyuridae. The record is from RefSeq and is a predicted model, not a curated record.